UUAUUAAGUCAAUUAACAUAACUACAUGAUGAAACUUAUUACCACCAAGAUCUCUGAGUGCCGUGAUUAUAUUUAGUAUUUGCUAACUGACCAAAAUUGAACAUAAAAAUAAUUAAUCGAAUUAAUUGUCACUUCUCAUUAAUAAACUAAAUUUUAUUUUUACAGCUUCAAUGGAUCAAAAAAUCCUGUCAAACUAUCGCUACUAAUUAUUGAUACAAUAAACAAGAAACUCGGAAAAACAAUCAUAUCCUCCUCAGUCUCGAAGCAUCAUUUUGUUUGCUAUUUGAAUAAUUUUUUCUAAGUCUACUCAUAGACUUUUUACAAAGCAAAAAAACAAAUUUUAUGUUUUUUCUAAUUUAUAGUUUUUAAAGCCAUCUAUUUUAAAGCUGUAGCAAUAAUUAAUUUUAUGGUUCAACUAACAGCUGCUAGUUGCCGAGCUUGGCAAAAUUGUCCCCUGUAUGGGCCGUCAGGAUCGAAGAGGAUAUACAUUAUAUAUUGCUUCAAUGAAUCAGGAAAUCCUGUGAAGCUGUUGCUACUUAUUAUUGAUGAACUGAACAGAACACUUCCGGAAAAACAAUUAUAUACCUUAGGUAUCGAGUCAAUGGAUCAGGAAAUUCUGUAAAACUUUAUUAUGAUCAUCAUUUUAUUAUUGAUACAAUCAACUAGACACUAUCGGAAAACAAUUACAUACAUUUCUUUAUAGAUAAUAAUCACCAGGAAAUGUAACUCGAGAAUAAAAUUUUAUUAAGAUUUUAAUCGGUGUCACGGAAGGCAAUUCAUCACACAGAAAAAAAUAAUUUAUCGGCGCAAAAAAAAUUUUGCAUUAUCAAUUGAAAACAAAAAAUUUCGUAGGAUUAGAAAAAAAUUUCUUGGCACAAGAAAUUGGUUUUUACUCUAAGAAAAUUUUUAUUUUCAAUUCUUAAGGGUCAGUUCAUAAAAUACGUCACACGAAAUUUUAUUUUUUUGGACCCCUUCCCCCCUUUGUCGUGCUAUGUCACAUUUUCUGUGACCUCCUCUAUCGAUAUUGCAUCACAAAUGGUAGGUCUCUCCCUUCCGUAUAUGAUAUAUGUAUCAAUUAAUAUUCACAAAUUUCUAUAUUAAAAAAAAAUCUAUUAUUUGCAAUAAAGGAACUUCGAUAAAUUUUUUUGAUAUUGGGAAUACAAGCGAACUGACUGUGACGAACCGCAGCGUUAGCGUUGACAUUGAAUAACAAAUAUUAAAAAAACCAAACAGUAAAUAUAACAAAUUAUUCAGCCAUUAUCACGGAAAUAAAUACGUAGAAAUACAUAGAUAUUUACAAAUAUGAAAAGAACGAUUUUCUAUCGUAACAAAAAAACUAAAUUUAAAAAAAACCGAACGAAAAAUUUGCAAAAUUAUUUGAUGAGCUGCGAACGUCACGUUUCCUUAGACCCCCUAAUCCUUCUUGUCAAAGUAAGCGACUCCACUCCCCCAUAAGUGCGAACGUAUUUUAUGAACGGGCCCUAAUGAAAAAUUUCUUGGGGCAAGUAAAUUUUUUUGGAUCGAGUAAAAAUUUUUUAUGCCAAGAAAUCCUUUUUUUAUAUGCAACUCAUCUUAUUUGUCAUGGUUCAAAGGAUUAAUUGCGUUGAAAAAAAUUCCUAGGUUUAUUCCGUUGAAUUAUUAUUAUAAUUAAUUUUAUAAAUUCUUGAAAAUAUAAAAAAAUACGUCUGUUAUUAAAAUUUAUUUUUAUUCUAAAAUAUUUUACUUUCAAAUAAAAAAUAAAUCCUGAAUUAUAUUUUUGUCUUUAUAUUUUUUUAUCUUAUUAGAGCAAUCUUUUGAGUUUAUUUACAUAAAAAUUUUACAUAUCCCAAGUGUGGAAAAACCCAACGAUCUGGAAAUUUUGACGGCUUUUUAUUUUAUUUAACAUCGCUAGCAUUUUUUUCAUCAGAAUUUUUCUUAAUAAUUCAUUACUUCAAUUAAAUUCUUAUGCAACAAUAAUUUUUUUUUUUAAAUUAAUAAAUUCCUUUGUACGAAACUAAUUACGUUAAAAAUUAUUGAAUUAUUUUUAAACUAAAAAUAAAUGAAAAAAAAAAAACUAUUAAACCGUAACAAAGUAAAUGUAACUGAUAUAAUUAGUUUAUUUAUUUAAAAUAAUUUGUAAAAAAUUAAAACAAGUAAUUCACGGUCAUUUGAUGUUCGAGGUCGGUGUCAAGAAUCCUGACUGAUUUGACUACAGAAACUUGUAUCUGAAGGUCAUAUAAUUCACGGUUCAUUAUAUUUUAUUUUAUUUCCUUACAUCUUAAAUAACUUUUUUUUUAUUUUCUCCUUAACGACGUAAACCAGUUGUCCUUCCGGACAGUCUAAUUUGAAUUUUUUUACGAUAUCUAAAAGUUUGAUCCUUUUUUUAUUGGGAUAAUCAAUCCCGUCUAGUUAUAACACGUGUCUAAUUAAAAUUAAUAUUACAGACUAUAUCAAGUUUUGAUUACCAUUGAUCAUUUAUUUAUAUCACUGUCCAUGAUAACACCUUUUUUGCAAUUGUUUACAUAAAAACCUUCAUAAACAGGAUCUAAUAAUUCACACAAUGCGUUCAUGGACAAUAUUUUUU
Molecule: long non-coding RNA, 2563 nt
Organism: Microplitis mediator
Lineage: Eukaryota; Metazoa; Arthropoda; Insecta; Hymenoptera; Braconidae
Exons: 9
Source: RefSeq, a predicted model, not a curated record